GACAGGAGGCCUUGUGGGGGGACUAAAACCCUUGCACUACACAAGAGGCACAUCCAAAACUUCCCUGCUUCUUUGCUCCAUACCUUUUGAGAGACUUCCAGAGUAGUUUCUUCUCCGUUCCUCGCCCUACACGGGGCCUACAAGCAGCUGAGCACAAGAACUCUGACCGUGUAUUCACAUAAAUAACUGCGUUUUCUGCGGGGGGCUAACGAGCCCAAAUUGAGGCGUGACCCCUAAAAGCAACAUCCACCAUUCUCGGUAGCAGAGUCACACAAGGGUAAUUGUGAGGUGCUAACGGCUGCCUGCCGAGCAAACUAUCAGGGGAGUGGCUGCUUCCGGCGAAGGUAGCGGGCGCACCUCAGGAGACGUCUGCCUGCAGAAGCACCAGGAGAAGGCCAAGCUCCUCGUUCAAGGGAAAUCUCUCAUGGGAGUUCUGAGGUUAAGAGAUGGCUUGUAGUUGAAAAAGGACCUGGGUCUUCCUGUACAUGUCACGAGAUGUCACAGUUAACAUCAAAGUGAUCUGGAAGAGCUGCCAACCCUGGAGCUUAAGGAAUAAUAGCAAGGGAAAGAGGCGACUGCAUGAAUUAAGACGCAGAGUAAAAGGAAU
RNAcentral lists this long non-coding RNA (607 nucleotides) under Numida meleagris (helmeted guineafowl). RNAcentral describes it as "lncRNA (ENSNMEG00000018836.1)". The record is from RNAcentral. Lineage: Eukaryota; Metazoa; Chordata; Aves; Galliformes; Numididae.